CUGCUGCCUCCCGUAGGAGUUUGGACCGUGUCUCAGUUCCAAUGUGGGGGACCUUCCUCUCAGAACCCCUAUCCAUCGUUGUCUUGGUGGGCCGUUACCCCGUCAACUAACUAAUGGAACGCAUCCCCAUCCCAUACCGAAAUUCUUUAAUAAUCCCAUCAUGCGGUAGGACUAUGACAUCGGGUAUUAAUCUUUCUUUCGAAAGGCUAUCCCCGAGUAUGAGGCAGGUUGGAUACGUGUUACUCACCCGUGCGCCGGUCGCCAUCAAAAGUUUG
This 275-nucleotide ribosomal RNA is filed under the name uncultured bacterium. RNAcentral's name for it is "partial 16S ribosomal RNA". The record is from RNAcentral.